Molecule: ribosomal RNA, 982 nt
Filed under: Lamprospora dictydiola
Lineage: Eukaryota; Fungi; Ascomycota; Pezizomycetes; Pezizales; Pyronemataceae
Description: SSU rRNA
Rfam family: Eukaryotic small subunit ribosomal RNA
Source: RNAcentral
GCGAAUGGCUCAUUAAAUCAGUUAUCGUUUAUUUGAUAGUACCUUACUACUUGGAUAACCGUGGUAAUUCUAGAGCUAAUACAUGCUAAAAAUCCCGACCUCUGGAAGGGAUGUAUUUAUUAGAUAAAAAACCAAUGCCUUCGGGCUUCUUGGUGAUUCAUGAUAACUUUACGAAUCGUAUGGCCUUGUGCCGGCGAUGGUUCAUUCAAAUUUCUGCCCUAUCAACUUUCGAUGGUAGGAUAGUGGCCUACCAUGGUUUCAACGGGUAACGGGGAAUUAGGGUUCGAUUCCGGAGAGGGAGCCUGAGAAACGGCUACCACAUCCAAGGAAGGCAGCAGGCGCGCAAAUUACCCAAUCCCGACACGGGGAGGUAGUGACAAUAAAUACUGAUACAGGGCCCUUUCGGGUCUUGUAAUUGGAAUGAGUACAAUUUAAACCCUUUAACGAGGAACAAUUGGAGGGCAAGUCUGGUGCCAGCAGCCGCGGUAAUUCCAGCUCCAAUAGCGUAUAUUAAAGUUGUUGCAGUUAAAAAGCUCGUAGUUGAACUUUGGGUCUGGGUAACUGGUCUGCGUUUACCGCAUGUACUGGAAACCCGGAUCUUUCCUUCUGGAGAACCGCAUGCACUUUACUGGGUGUGCCGGGGAACCAGGACUUUUACUUUGAAAAAAUUAGAGUGUUCAAAGCAGGCAUUUGCUCGAAUACAUUAGCAUGGAAUAAUAAAAUAGGACGUGCGGUUCUAUUUUGUUGGUUUCUAGGACCGCCGUAAUGAUUAAUAGGGAUAGUCGGGGGCAUCCGUAUUCGAUUGUCAGAGGUGAAAUUCUUGGAUUUUUCGAAGACGAACUACUGCGAAAGCAUUUGCCAAGGAUGUUUUCAUUAAUCAGGAACGAAAGUUGAGGGAUCGAAGACGAUCAGAUACCGUCGUAGUCUCAACCAUAAACUAUGCCAACUAGGGAUUGGGCGACUGUGUUAUUUGAGUUGCUCA